AAAUAUUUAGUUCAUAAGCAAGAGUGCCACAUAAACAAAAGUGCAUUCAGUUCGUAGAUGAAAUUCAUCACACAAUGCAUUAUUUCAUCUUUUAUUGUUUCCAAAGUUACAUGCAAGACACAAGCAUUUUGGAAGCUAUGUACACAUGGUUUCAUCCUCAUGAAACCAAUUUCUUCUCUCACCUUAUAAAUAGGGUGCCAUACUAUCACAAUUGUCUACAUGGCAUCUUAUUUAUUAUCCAUGAAACUGCC
This 251-nucleotide long non-coding RNA is filed under the name Setaria viridis. RNAcentral's name for it is "long non-coding RNA (SVIR_LNC007387)". The record is from RNAcentral. Lineage: Eukaryota; Viridiplantae; Streptophyta; Magnoliopsida; Poales; Poaceae.